RNAcentral lists this ribosomal RNA (253 nucleotides) under uncultured bacterium. Its description in RNAcentral is "partial 16S ribosomal RNA". It matches the Rfam family "Bacterial small subunit ribosomal RNA", at positions 524 to 776 of the family's 1533-position model. The record is from RNAcentral.
UACGAAGGGGGCUAGCGUUGCUCGGAAUCAUUGGGCGUAAAGCGCGUGUAGGCGGUUCGGUAAGUCCGCUGUGAAAGUCGGGGGCUCAACCCUCGGAUGCCGGUGGAUACUGUCGGACUAGAGUACGGAAGAGGCGAGUGGAAUUCCUGGUGUAGCGGUGAAAUGCGUAGAUAUCUGGAGGAACACCGGUGGCGAAGGCGGCAUCCUGGACCGAGAUUGACGCUGAGGCGCGAAAGCUAGGGGAGCAAACGGG